AGAGGAGAAGAGUCUCCUAAAACUGGGGAAAAGAAAACCCUCUCAAUAUUAUGAAACUUGGGGAACAGCAUCACAAAGAUGAGUUGAGACGUGUCUUUCAUCAAGUCUGGUGAAAUUGAGAAAGAUCCAAAUUGAGAACGAGGAAUUCAAAGAAGCGCAUCAUGAUUAAGAAUGUGCCUUUCAAGAGGAACAUGAGGAAGAGCUGAUCUAGCCUGGCAACGCUGAGAAAGAGUCUUUUAAGACCAAGGAUGUUGAGGAGCCUCUCAAGCCUGAGGAAGGUACGGAAGAAGUUCUCAAAAAUAAGGAAGUUGAGGGAGAGUUUCUCCAAAAUAAAGAAGUUGAGGACGAGGUUCUCAAAAAUAAAGAAGUUGAGGAAGAUUUUCUCAAAACUUAGGAAGUUUAGGAAGAGCCUUUCAAGCCUGAAGAAGUUUAGGAAGAGUCUCUCAAGACCAAAGUGUCAUGAUUCCCCCUUGAAGCAGCGUGCUCUAAGCGCGAAUGCGUGAGCACCUGCUUUUCCGUUGUUGACCGUAGUGACAUCUGGACACGUGUGUUUUGUUUAUGUUUCUGUCAUGUCUCCUCCCUGUUCUGUCAUUGGCUGGGAUUUCACGUGGGUCUGUAUUGCUCUCAGCUGCUAGCGGUUUAGACGCUGAUCAUGUCCACAUAUAUACCGCGCGCCUUCCAGCACACAACGUGGAACAUUAUCGUAGAGUUAGUUUAGUUCGUGUCGUAGUCGUAGUCGUAGUCGUAGUCACGGUCCAUGUUUAGAGUUAGUUCGCGCUGGAUUAUCCGCUCCCAGUUCCUCGUCAUAGUUCGUUUCUCGUUUUUUGUUUAUCGACCCUGUUUUCCGUGACCAUGACCUAGAUUCCAGCCUUGCCCCGUGUAUGCCUGUUUUCCAAUCGCCUGACCUCUUGCAUGUUUGCGGAUUACGUUUUGGAUCACGUUUUGGAUUUGUCUGCCUGUCUCUCUUUCAAAUAAACAACUGUUCAUCCUGCACUUGCAUCCGUCCUAUCUCCGCUCCGUCACGAUACGUGACAUAAAGAAGGUGAGGAAGACUUUCUCAAGACUUAAGAAGUUGAACUGAAAGGAAGUGUCUCAGGUCUGAAGAAGUUGAAGGAGAGGUUUAAAAAAUAAGGAACUGGAUGAAGUGGUUCUCAAAACUGAGGAAGUUCAAGAAGACCCUUUCAAGCCUAGGGAAGAAAAGGAAGAGUCUCUCAAGACCAAGGAAGGUGAGGAAGAUUGCUACAAAGCUGAAGAAGAGUCUCUCAAGUCUGAAGAAGUUGAGGAAGAGCGUCUUCUCUUCUCUCCACUUGGGCAGGAAAACCAUCCAUGAGCUGCAGUAAAAUGUAGCCUUAGUGUUUGUUGAUACAGUGGGGGUCAUGAUGUCUGAGUCCAGCAGCAAGAAUUGACCAUUUUACUCAACUGGCCAGAUGUGUCGUUAUCUGUAGCAUCCCUGCUGGUGCCUCUACAAAUUACACCUGCAACAUGAGGGGUCGUCAUGUGAACAUCAUUCCCGAUGUUAUCCAGGCUCUCACGCUCUGUGAAGUGUAAGUCUAUGGGGUUCCAGUGCCUGUUACUAAGAGGGCAUUUCUGAGAUUGAAGUUUAACAGCAGUGAGGAUCUUAUGAACCCUACUGUGAGGGACAAAAUUCUUCAAAAGAUGAUAUCUGCCAAUGUCCAGCCUUCAGUGCGUCAGAUCCGUUGGACUAAGGAACCAGAGGUGGAAAAAGAAACUUAAAAAACGGUGGCAGAAAUAUAUCUGAAACAACAAGAAAAAGAUGAAGUGGAAGAAGAACUGUUCAAAGAACAAAAAGAAAAAAAAUCAAAUGUGUGAGGUUUGGGUGUAGCACUUGAAAAUACUAGCUAACUGAUGUUAUAGGUUUAUUAAUUAGAAGUACUAGAAGUUUUUUAGUUUAUUUGUUUGGGAAAUGUAUCUAUGAAAAAUUACCACAGGGUUUGUACAAGGUGCUUGAAUUUGGCAUUUGGAAAUAUAAGUACUGGAAGACCUUAAAUAGCCUUUUUUUAUGUAACAGUGGUUAAAAAGUGCUUGAAUGUUAUUUAUUUAUUGACUUUUUAUCAAUCACUUUAAAGGGUUUAUUUUCAAAAGAACACGAAUACAACCCUUUCACUCAAAAUAUGACUCCCCGCUGCAGCCCCUCCUCCUCCUGCUGUUCACUCAUUCAUUUUAACAGGGACAGCUUCGGACCACUUCUCAGACCCCUUUAGCAACUUUUUUUUUUUUUAAAGCACCUAGCGACAUAUCUAGAGACUUUUCAGACAAACCUUAGCUACUUUCCGUAGAAGAGAAUGGCCAGUACUGCCUGGUGAGUGCGAGGUCCUGCUUUCAGAAACAGAAAAAAUAUGUAAAUGAGAACAGCUUUAUUGGGAAUUCGGCUGUAUUAAAAUUCAGCAUGUGAGCACAGAGAGUAGGAUGUAAUAAAGGGCUGACUCUAGGCAGAGUGAAAAUACGAUGCAAUGGUGAAAUUAUGGUGAAAAUGAAGCAAUGACUGGGAAAUACAAAUUUAGUCCAUCACGGCUGGGAAAAGGGGCUAUAUUAAAAUGGUUGUUUAAAAAAAUAUAUAUAUAUAUUUAUUAUUAUUAUUAUUAUUAUUAU
Molecule: long non-coding RNA, 2610 nt
Organism: Ictalurus punctatus (channel catfish)
Lineage: Eukaryota; Metazoa; Chordata; Actinopteri; Siluriformes; Ictaluridae
Exons: 5
Source: RefSeq, a predicted model, not a curated record